This 433-nucleotide ribosomal RNA is filed under the name uncultured bacterium. Its description in RNAcentral is "bacterial SSU rRNA". It matches the Rfam family "Bacterial small subunit ribosomal RNA", at positions 917 to 1350 of the family's 1533-position model. The record is from RNAcentral.
GGGCCCGCACAAGCGGUGGAGUAUGUGGUUUAAUUCGAUGCAACGCGAAGAACCUUACCAGGUCUUGACAUCCCGCUGACCGCCUUGGAGACAAGGCUUUCCCUUCGGGGACAGCGGUGACAGGUGGUGCAUGGUUGUCGUCAGCUCGUGUCGUGAGAUGUUGGGUUAAGUCCCGCAACGAGCGCAACCCUUGAUCUUAGUUGCCAGCAUUCAGUUGGGCACUCUAAGGUGACUGCCGGUGACAAACCGGAGGAAGGUGGGGAUGACGUCAAAUCAUCAUGCCCCUUAUGACCUGGGCUACACACGUGCUACAAUGGACGGUACAAAGGGCUGCAAACCCGCGAGGGGAGCCAAUCCCAUAAACCGUGGCUCAGUUCAGAUCGUAGGCUGCAACUCGCCUACGUGAAGGCGGAAUCGCUAGUAAUCGCAGGUC